RNAcentral lists this long non-coding RNA (519 nucleotides) under Citrus maxima (pomelo). Its description in RNAcentral is "long non-coding RNA (CMAX_LNC003781)". Lineage: Eukaryota; Viridiplantae; Streptophyta; Magnoliopsida; Sapindales; Rutaceae. The record is from RNAcentral.
CUUGAUCCAAGACCACUCACUAAAUACCUUAGAGCAACACUUAAAUAGCUCCGUUUUGAGAAUUUUAACAAUCUUUAUGAUGUAUUUAGGAUUGAAGUUGGGCAGUUAUAGCUUAAAAAUUACAGCACUAAAGUAUUUGAUAAACACUAAUUGUUGUAGCUUUUAAGCUAUGUUGAUAUGAUUUUUGACUUGUAUAAUAUAAAAUCUAAUAUAUUUUUAAUAAUUUUAUCAAAAUUAUUAUUUAAAAUUUACAUUUACUAUCUAUUAUUAACUUUUGUUUUAUAAUUACAAUUUUUUUUUUCACAGCAGCUGUAGCUUUUAAGCUACAACACUUCAAUCCCAAACGCACCAUUAGACUGUCUCCACCCAAAUAGUGUAUAUUUCAUAAAUGUCAAAUGUGCAUGCACACAACCAUCUAGCAGCAGAGGUCCUUCAAAGCUUCAAGCAUAAAAGUGAAUCUUCUUAUGACACAUUUGACUAGUGUAUCUAUCCAUCAGGACCCUCACUUGGUUCUUGGAG